Molecule: transfer RNA, 71 nt
Filed under: Candidatus Beckwithbacteria bacterium
Lineage: Bacteria; Candidatus Beckwithiibacteriota
Also listed under: 1 other name
Description: tRNA-Pro
Rfam family: tRNA
About the family: Transfer RNA (tRNA) molecules are approximately 80 nucleotides in length. Their secondary structure includes four short double-helical elements and three loops (D, anti-codon, and T loops).
Source: RNAcentral
CGGGGUAUGGUCUAGUGGUAUGAUGGGCGCAUGGGGUGCGUCCGACGUCAGUUCGAUUCUGACUACCCCGA